This 2058-nucleotide long non-coding RNA is filed under the name Chrysemys picta bellii (western painted turtle). RNAcentral describes it as "lncRNA (ENSCPBG00000022130.1)". The record is from RNAcentral. Lineage: Eukaryota; Metazoa; Chordata; Testudines; Emydidae.
UGUCUAACACGGCAGAGCUGGAGCGGCGACUCUCUGACCUGGAGCUGGCCCAGAUGCUGUCUAGGCAGAAACUGGAGCGAGCCUCUGUCGCUGCUGAGCGCAUCGUGGCCUCUGACCCUAUCGGCAAGCUUGCCGCCUUCCAGGCGGAAGUGAAGCAGGCCAUCAGCGAGCUGAGAGGAGAGCUCCCCUCCGGGACCGAGCUGGCUGAGCUGCAGAGCCAGCUGGAGCAGCUGAGAACCACCGAGCUGGAGAUGCUGAGGCAAGAGGUGGCCGGGCUCUUGUCGUCGGGUUCCAGGCUGGAGCAGAGCGUGGCCUCGUUGACCGGCUCCCUCACCAGUGCCCAGAGGAGCCUGGAAGAGAAAGCUCAUAGCCUGCAAGCCAUGCAGCAGGAAGCGGAGCACGCUAAGGUGGCUGGCGAGAGAUUGGAGAACAACAUUGGCUCCCUGUCAGCCCGGACCUUCAUCCUGGAGGGAAGCCUCAACCGCACCACACUGCUGGCACGCGCCCUGCAGCUGCAGCUGGAGCAGAACAGCAAGGCUCUGGCUGGACUGCAGGAAGUGGCAGCAAAUCAGAGCGGGAGCGACAGCUCUGAACCUCGGCAGCUGGAGAACCUCAGGGUGCAGAUCCAGCAGCUGCACAUGGAGAGAUCGGCCACGCAGGAGCGGGUGAGCGAGGCGCUGCACAGCAUUGCUGACCAGAGGAGAGAGCUGCAGGGUAGGAUCUCAGAGCUGGAAACGGCUAUUCAUGCUCUUCAGGGCCAUGUGACUCAGGUGGAGCUGGGCAUGGUCAAUCUGAACACACAGCUCUCUGGUGUCGUGGAGCAGCAGCUGCAGGGUCUAAAGAUUGGGAUGGCCAAUCUGGAGAGCAGCCUGGGCACCAGCCUGCAGCAAUGUCUCUCAGGAGAAGUACAGACCCGCUGUGAGACUGAGGAUGGCUGUGGGUGGCCGCAUGUGCACGAGAUCAGCUUCCCGCACCGUGUCCCAACCCAGCCCGCGAUUAUGCUGGGGCUGGUGGGGCUGAGCACUCGUGGUUCUGUGGGCAUCUCGGUGAGAGCUUUGGACAUCACGGACUCUGGCUUCAAAAUACACAUCGCCAGCAUGGGCAACCAGAGCCUGACCAGUGCCAGGGUCUCUUGGAUGCUGUGUGCCUAGAUGGAAAGCUGUGAUGCGGCCCCUGGGGCAGGGGUUACUGAGCUGGUGGCAUCUGCUUUACUUGGACACAACUGUGGUGUGCUUUGGUUUUCUUUAAAGUAAUUACAGCUUACAAGGAGUCCAUGUAGAUGGGAUCCCAAUGAAUAAGCCCCUUUCUUGGGAGCUGUGUAUCCCCAUUUAAUGGCAGGCUGAACAGCCCCAGGCCUUGCUGAAGGCUCCUGGAAAGUGCAACUGACAAGAUCUGUCUUAAACUUCCAAACCUAAGCGCCUAAACUGAACCACCAGCUAUAUGCACGUGCAACUGUUUGUUUGCGUUCAGCCACUCUGCAUCUGCAGAUGUGUGUCUCACUCGCACGAAAAGAUGCACCACAAGGCUAAUUGUGAGGGAAGUUGAGCACCUGGGUCUGGAAAGUUGGCCUGUAAACCUCUUUAUUUAGGAAUUUUUUGGUUUUAUUAUUUUCAGUAGCAACAGUUGGAAUGUUCUCCUGCUGCCCAUUUAGGAUUCUACCCAGUGCUUUGCAUGUCAGAAGUGUUAAAACUUAUGCAGAGAUGAUGCUAAUGGCUGGAUGCAGCCAAAUGACCAAAGGGGGUGUGUGCGUGUGUCCAGUUGGAAAUUCCUGGCUGAGCCAGUUUCUCCUGGCAGUGUGAGCUUGCCUAUAUGGCAGAGGGCAUUGCUAGUCAGGGCUGCUCAUCCCUCACAGAGCUAUGGCGUCUACGCUGAGCCUUACCCUGGAAGAGAUGGACAGACCUGCUAAGCUUUCUUGUGGUGUUGCAAGGUGGGUUAAGACUACUGGCCUUCUCUGGACCUAUCUCACCAAGUGAAACACCAGAGCAUUCAGACUGGGUGUGCUUGCUUGUCUGUCUAAUUCUGCGGAAGGGAAGCAGCUGUAUUUUAAUGUAUACAACU